GGAACCAGAGCCUACCCGGCAACACAGGGCAUAAGGCUGGAGGGGGAGAGGACACACCCAGGACGGGAUGCCAGUCCGUCACAAGGCACCCCAAGCGGGACUUGAACCCCAGACCCACUGGAGAGCAGGACCCGGUCCAACCCACUGCGCCACCACACCCCCCUGUCUCCGGGCAACAGUCGGAGAAGACAGCUACUGCUUGAAUGCCUGGUCCUGCUGGCACUGUGGAGCACAGACAGACAAAAAUGCCUGCAGUGCCUGCAGCCUGCAGACAUGGCAUGGCGUUAAGAAGCAAGAGUUCCCUCCCCUCAUGGAUGCUGGAUGCUCAAGAACAUGUCAGUCACAAAGAAAGUCUACCUGUUCUAAAAGCUGAAGUGAUGAGACAUGUAGAGCUGAAAGACAAUAUCAUUACAAGGGUCUUCAUUACAGCUUUACUCACUGCCUAAAAGUCUUCUGUUAUUGCUGCUCAUACUUACUAAAUCAAACACAAAAACGCUUUCAAUGAAAACAUAGUAUUAACUGUACAUAUAGUGUGAAGGAAUAUAUGUUAAUAUACCACAGGCUAUAAAAACUAAAGUAACUGGGUUAAGGGUUAUUACAGCACACAACCCUCCAAUGACUGACACUACAGAGUUGUCUUAAUGUGACAACUUCCAGGUUGUCCCUGCAUUUCUUCACAUAUCUGAGGUGACUGGUUUCACAGUCGGAUAGAAGAGAUACAUGUAUAGUCAGUCCUUUUUUGAAUAAAUGAUGACUUUUUAUUUAUUAUUAUGUUCA
RNAcentral lists this long non-coding RNA (777 nucleotides) under Scleropages formosus (Asian bonytongue). Its description in RNAcentral is "lncRNA (ENSSFOG00015029124.1)". The record is from RNAcentral. Lineage: Eukaryota; Metazoa; Chordata; Actinopteri; Osteoglossiformes; Osteoglossidae.